RNAcentral lists this long non-coding RNA (622 nucleotides) under Zonotrichia albicollis (white-throated sparrow). RNAcentral describes it as "lncRNA (ENSZALG00000016785.1)". The record is from RNAcentral. Lineage: Eukaryota; Metazoa; Chordata; Aves; Passeriformes; Passerellidae.
GUUUUCCNACUAAGAUACUACAGGGUCAUUGCUAGGAUACAACAGUACCAGGAUAUUAUCACAGAGCUCCCGAGGUGCUCCAGGACAGGGGUCAGUUUGCAGUGGGACACUCCAGGACAGGGGUCAGUUUGCAGCAGGAUAUUCCAGGACAGGGGUCAGUUUGCAGUAGGACACUCCAGGACAGUUUGCAGUGGGAUAUUCUCAGGACAGGGGUCAGUUUGCAGUGGGAUAUUCCAGGACAGGGGUCAGUGGGAUGCUCUCAGGACAGGGGUCAGUUUGCAGUGGGAUAUUCUCAGGACAGGGGUCAGUUUGCAGUAGGACACUCCAGGACAGGGGUCAGUUUGCAGUAAGAUGCUCCAGGCCAGGGGUCAGUUUGCAGUGGGAUGCUCUCAGGACAGGUCAGUUUGCAGUAGGAUAUUCCAGGACAGGGAUCAGUAGGAUAUUGUCAGGCCAGGGGUCGGUGUGGAGUAGGAUGCUCCAGGACAGGGGUCAGUUUGGAGUAGGAUAUUCCAGGACAGGGGUCAGUAGGAUAUUCUCAGGAUGGGUCAGUUUGCAGUGGGAUGCUCUCAGGACAGGUCAGUUUGGAGUAGGAUAUUCCAGGACAGGGGUCAGUUUGCAGUAG